AACACAUGCAAGUCGAACGGCAGCACGGUAGAGACUUCGGUUUUUAUGGGUGGCGAGUGGCGGACGGGUGAGUAACACGUGGGCAAUCUGCCCCUCACUUCGGGAUAACUCAGGGAAACCUGAGCUAAUACCGGAUACUCCUUGCGGAUCGCAUGGUCUGCUCGGGAAAGUUCCGGCGGUGAGGGAUGAGCCCGCGGCCCAUUAGCUUGUUGGUGAGGUAACGGCUCACUAAGGCGGCGGCGGGUAGCCGGCCUGGGAGGGUGGCCGGCCAACCUGGGACUGGGACACGGCCCAGACCCCUAAGGGAGGCAGCAGUGGGGAAUAUUGGGCAAUGGGCGCAAGCCUGACCCAGCCAUGCCGCGCGAGUGAUGAAGGCCUUAGGGUUGUAAAGCUCUUUCGCCGAGGACGAUAAUGACGGUACUCGGAUAAGAAGCCCCGGCUAACUUCGUGCCAGCAGCCGCCGUAA
Molecule: ribosomal RNA, 466 nt
Filed under: uncultured bacterium
Lineage: Bacteria
Description: partial 16S ribosomal RNA
Rfam family: Bacterial small subunit ribosomal RNA
Source: RNAcentral